RNAcentral lists this ribosomal RNA (462 nucleotides) under uncultured bacterium. RNAcentral describes it as "partial 16S ribosomal RNA". It matches the Rfam family "Bacterial small subunit ribosomal RNA", at positions 29 to 523 of the family's 1533-position model. The record is from RNAcentral.
AAUGAACGUUGGCGGCAUGGAUUAGGCAUGCAAGUCGGGGGAAUCCCAGCAAUGGGGGAACCGGCGUAAGGGGCAGUAAGGCAUGGGUACCUACCUUGGGGUUCGGGGUAGCCAUCAGAGAUGGUGGGUAAUACCGGAUGACGUCGUGAGACCAAAGAUUUAUCGCCCUUGGAGGGGCCCAUUGGAUAGUAGCUAGUUGGUGGGGUAACGGCCCACCAAGGCGAAGAUGUCUAGCGGGUGUGAGAGCACGACCCGCGCCACUCGCACUGAGACACUGGCGAGACACCUACGGGUGGCUGCAGUCGAGGAUCUUCGGCAAUGAGCGCAAGCUUGACCGAGCGAUGCCGCGUGAGCGAUGAAGGCCUUCGGGUUGUAAAGCUCUUUAGUGGGGGAGAAAAGCCGCAAGGUGUGAUCUAUCCUAAAAAUAAGCACGGGCUAAGUUCGUGCCAGCCGCCGCCGUAA